GGGCCCGCACAAGCGGUGGAGUAUGUGGUUUAAUUCGAUGCAACGCGAAGAACCUUACCAGGGUUUGACAUCCUGCGAAUCUCUUGGAAACGAGAGAGUGCCUUCGGGAACGCAGUGACAGGUGGUGCAUGGCUGUCGUCAGCUCGUGUCGUGAGAUGUUGGGUUAAGUCCCGCAACGAGCGCAACCCACGUCUUUAGUUGCCAGCAUUUAGUUGGGCACUCUAGCGAGACUGCCGGUGAUAAGCCGGAGGAAGGCGGGGAUGACGUCAAGUCCUCAUGGCCCUUAUGGGCUGGGCUACACACGUGCUACAAUGGCAGUGACAGAGGGACGCUACCAGGUGACUGGAUGCAAAUCUCAAAAAGCUAUCUCAGUUCGGAUUGUCGUCUGCAACUCGACGGCAUGAAGUCGGAAUCGCUAGUAAUCGCGUAAC
RNAcentral lists this ribosomal RNA (431 nucleotides) under uncultured bacterium. RNAcentral's name for it is "bacterial SSU rRNA". It matches the Rfam family "Bacterial small subunit ribosomal RNA", at positions 917 to 1350 of the family's 1533-position model. The record is from RNAcentral.